This 253-nucleotide ribosomal RNA is filed under the name uncultured bacterium. RNAcentral's name for it is "partial 16S ribosomal RNA". It matches the Rfam family "Bacterial small subunit ribosomal RNA", at positions 524 to 776 of the family's 1533-position model. The record is from RNAcentral.
GACAGAGGUGCCGAGCGUUAGGCGGAAUCACUGGGCUUAAAGCGUGUGUAGGCGGACUUCUAAGUACCUUGUGAAAUCCCACGGCUCAACCGUGGAACUGCUUGGUAUACUGGUCGUCUUGAGCCAUCUAGGGGCUGUCGGAACAAAUGGUGGAGCGGUGAAAUGCGUAGAUAUCAUUUGGAACGCCAAUGGUGAAAACAGGUAGCUGGGAGUGUGCUGACACUGAGACACGAAAGCCAGGGGAGCGAACGGG